This 7726-nucleotide long non-coding RNA is filed under the name Marmota monax (woodchuck). The record is from RNAcentral. Lineage: Eukaryota; Metazoa; Chordata; Mammalia; Rodentia; Sciuridae.
GCAGAUUCCAGAAGGCCACAUUCUCAGCAACUCGAGCCUGAGUUCCUUGUCUGGAUUUCUCUGGACCCUGCUGACCACCACUUAGAAGACCCGUCACCCCUGCUUCUUCCAGGUUUGAAGGUGGAGGUGAGCGCUCUAGUGUGGGGAAGGGGCCUGCAGUCAGCUGUCCAUAAGCCCAGGAGACACCCGCCACUCCCCUGCCAGCCACCCAGGAAUAAUGGCAGCCUGGGAUGAGCUCCCAUAAUUCACUGGGAGUGUGGGGCUGGGUGUAGACCCUGCUUGAAUACCAGGCUUCCUGCUGUUACCUAGGGGAGGGCCCCAAGGUUAUUUCCCCUCCAGACCUUCCCUUGAUGCCCUUUCAUAUUCCUUCUUUCCCCUCCCUGCCUUCCUUCUUCCCUUCCCUCCUUCCUUCCUCCCCCCUCCUCUUUCUUUCUUCUUUUUGUUUUCUAAAUUGUCCCCCUCGAAUUCACACUGUUAAGAAAUAGAUGUGUGAAUUGAGCUGGAAUAUCAUGGAGAAAUGAUUUUUUUUUUUUGAAACAAAUGCAGCUGUCCCUCUUUCAGACACAAGUUUACCAUUUAUGUUCUUGAAAAUAAUCUAUGUUGCUAAAUUAUACAUGUUCCCUGAAAGAACUUUAGAGAACUUAGAAAACAAUUCCCAACGACAGCCUCCCGUGGAGGGGAGCACUGUUGCCAUUUGUGCAGGUGCGGUGGGCUUUGUUUCUGAAUAUAUGUUUCAGCUUUCCAGUUCGCUCUAGUACUAUAAUAGACUUCUGGACCCUGGUAACCUUUGGUUUUGCUCUUUUUGCAAUAUAUUGUGGGUGAUUUGUUUAUUGAUUAUUUUGAGUUGUUUUUCAUUUUGUUUAAAACGCCAAUUAAUAUUUUGUGCACAUAUUGUUUUGAUAAACAAAAUUAUUUUCUGAAGAAAAACCUUCGGCAGCAGGGUUACUACAUGGAAACGUAAGUGCAGAUUGAAGGCUUUGGGUCCACGUUGCCAAACUGCCCUGCAGAAAUGUUGAGCCCAGUGCAGAAAUGCCACGUGUUUCCAAACAUUUCUCACCAAUUCUCUGUUUUGUUGUUCCUUUGCCUCAUUUCCAAAUUGAUACACAACCCAGAGGACAAAAGGAUGAACAAAAUCCUUCAGCUGCUGGGCAUAGUGGUGCAGCCUGUAAUCACAGCAGGGAAGGCUGAGACGGGAGGAACGGGAGUUCAAAGCUAGCUUCAGCCAUUUAGUGAGAUCCUGUGUCUAAAUAAAACACAAAAAGGGCUGGGGAUGUGGCUCAGUGGUCAAGUGCCCCUGAGUUCAAUCCCUGGUACCAAAAAAGAAAAAGAAAAAAAAAAUCCUUCAGCUGACUGCUGGUAGCUCAAGGUAUUUACUCUCGGAGUUUCCUUGAGUUCUUGACAAUGGGAGAGAGGCCUGCUUCUCAUCAACCAAGUCAGGAGCCUACCCAACCCGUCAGAGCGUCUGAGCCCAGUGGUUUUUCUGGAGGCAAAUCCCAUAUGGUCUCAGGCAAAGCAGACCAGUGUCUCCACCAUUUCCUUCCGUAUCUGAUGGGCCAGAAUGAUCCUGAGCUCCAGCAACUUGACUUCCUCUACUGAUCUGCCUGGGAUGAUUCUGCUGCAGGCUCAGCAGGGACCAGUCUCAGGUGUGUCACUUCCCUGGUGACCAUGGCCUUUGCAAUCAGAUCAGGGGAGGAUGCUGAGGAAUGACCGUGCAGAAGUUCAUGGCCGGGUUCAGUGGCUACAUCGAGAAUCCACACUUUGAACUCACUGAUCUCUAAUCGUCACUUGGCAUCUCCUUCAGUAACAAUGGCAGGCAACAAACCUUUGCAAUGUCAUCAGUUUCUGUGACUUUAUUAUUGGUAAAAAUCAUAGCUACUUUCAGAUCUGUUAUGAUUGUGGCUGGUAUUUUAAAAAGUCCUUAAGCUCAUCGCUGGUUUGAAAUUACAGUAAUCAUUGAGGCUUGCUAACAAAUCUUGUUAUUAGUGUGGUAAUACAUGAGCAUACCUAUGACCAUAGAUAAUUUUUAAAAAUAUUCUGAUAAUUGUAUUUUAGCAUAAACAUUUUCUUUGUGAUCCCAUAUACAUUUAAAACUUUCUUCUGAGAGGGGUUCUUCAGACUUUACCAGCUGCCAAAGGAGUCCAAGGUGCGUGCACGUGCACGUGCACAUACUCACAAACACACAUACAAAAGAUUAAAACCUUGGAAAAGAAAGCUAAAUUAUUUGGGGCUUUGCAGAUGAGCCAAACCUUCUGGGUUUUGGUUUUGGUACUGAGGAUUAAACUUGGGGGUACUGCUCUACCACUGAGCUAUAUCUCCAAUCUUUUACUUUUUAUUUUGAGACAGGGUGUCACUAAAUUGCUUAGGGCCUCCCUCAGUCACAGAGGCUGGCCCCAAACUUGUGAUCCUCCUGAAUCAGCCUCCUGAGUCACUGGGAUUACAAGUAUGUGCCACCACACUAGACACAAAAGUUCUGUUUUCUAAUCCCAGGGUUAAAAAGGUUUCCCUAAAGGUUUUAGGAUAGAGAUUAUUUUGAAUAUUUUCUCAUCUCCGUUUCUGUGUAUUCAAUCAUUCAUUCGAUAGUUAUUUAACAAACAAAAAAAAUGACACACCAAGGCAGCCUCAUAAGACAAUCACUGACUCUGCCAAGUGACAAAAGAGGGUUGAGUGGAACAGAGGAGCCACGGCUCCAAGAAACCAGAGCAAUUGCAAAUUCAGCUACUCAUUGCUUUGAAUCCAGAUCUGCUCCCCCGCUGAAGUAUGAAAUUCCAUCAGAAUAAUUACUGCUUUUCCCCAUAGAGCUCUCGUCACUCUGUGACUCCCAAUCUGCUCUGGCAAAAUCCUCCUCAUCCUAUCUUGGAUGCCUCUUCCCAGCUGGAGCUAAUCCCAGUCCCCCACCCUCCCUCAUAGAUUUUAGCACUGUCACUUUUUUCUUAAAGAGAGAGAGAGAAUUUUUUAAUAUUUAUUUUUUAGUUUUCGGCAGACACAGCAUCUUUGUAUGUGGUGCUGAGGAUCGAACCCGGGCCGCACGCAUGCCAGGCAAGCGCGCUACCGCUUGAGCCACAUCCCCAGCCCCAGCACUGUCACUUUUGAUUUGCGUUAUUUACGGGAGUCUGGCUGCCGCUGGGAUCCUGAGCUCUCAUGCUGGGUUGUGGGGGGGAUCUUGCCCAUCCUGUGGCCCAGUGGGUCCUGGAGCUCUUCCUCCGCUUCUGAGCUGAGUGACUUAGGCAACUGGAUUCCCUUUCUGUUGGCAGAGACUGUAAUACGUGCUCGCUCCACCAAGACCUCUUUCUGGAGCUUUCUCCCAUGUUUUCCACCCUGCAGCCCCAGGCCAGGGCCGCUGAUCCAGGGCUUUGCUUCCCGAGCUGCUACUCACAGCCCCUCCUGGCCCACCUGUCCAGGCCUGGCGUCCCUGUUCCCUGUGCUGACAUGUCCUCUGCUGCUUAGUUCUGCUCAUCUUUUCAUGCCUGGUUCAAGAGGCUUCCCACACUUCAGGCAGAAAUACCUCUUUCUUCUUUCCUUCCUUUCUUUUUUGUAGGAUAUCUGGGAUUGAACUCAGGUGCACGUGGUCACUGAGCCACAUCCCCAGCCUUAUUUUGUAUUUUAUUUAGAGACAGCGUCUCACAGAGAGAAAUACCCCUUACUUUCUUCAUGCCCCAUGGUACACUUGAUUCCAACAGCUAUCUUUCUUCACUGGCCAGAAGUUCUUUAAAGGCAGGUACUGGCUGGGCGUGGUGGCACAUGCCUAUAAUCCCAGUGGUUCGGGAGGCUGAGGCAGGAGGAUCUCGAGUUCUGGGGAUGUGGCUCACUGACCAAGCACACCUGGGUUCAAUCCCUGGUACAAAAAAAAAAAAUCAGGUUCUGAGCCAUAUUCAUAUUUGUGGCAUCAGCGCUUUGAAGUAUUGUUGGCUGAAUGAAGAAGUGGAGGAAUGAGCGAAGGAAGGGGUGACUGGAUACCUUUCCUUUCUUCUCCCCAGCUCUUUCCUUUCUCUUCUAAUCAGUUCUGGGUCCAGGGCUGGCAUGGACACUGACUUUGAUCAUGAAUUAGUGACUUCAUCCCCCGGGAUUCAGGCUUCCCUCUCUGUAGGAAGAGAUGGAACUAGAGUCUGCUUAGUGGCCUUCUCUUGUUCCUAGUGAUGUGAUUCUCUUGUGAGACUCGGAAGGUGUCCCUAUUUGCUGGGACAGAAGUCUCCUGAGUCACACUCUUCGUCCCACUUAGCCACCCAGCACCGACUCCUGUAUCUAGCUGGUGACUUGGCCCUCUCAAUCCCACAACUUUCACGUCUCUAAAUCCCAUCCCACCUCCUUCUCUAGACCACUGCUGAAAUCCAGGCCUCCAUUUUCUCCCAUUCGAGUCACUGAUUAUCUUCAGGACAGCCCAGAGGUCAGACCUGUUCUCCCAGCCCCCUGCUUUUUGGGAGGAGGAGGCAGAGGCAUCUACAGAUACUGCAAGGCUACUGGGAGGUCUGGAUUUGCUAUUGGAAUCAAAAGUCCUUGAGUUCAAAUACUUCCUUCUUCAGAUCUUGUGUGUGAUUCUCUUUUCUGAUUUUCUCAGACUCCCUCCCAGACUUUGCCAUCUGAACUUCCUGGGCAGGUCCCCACUUCCCUAUUCACAGAGGCCAAGCUUAUGAGGAGGAGGAGGAACGUCCAGUUUCCCAGCAUCCGCAAGCCCAUGUGUGUGGGCCCCGCCUUCGCUUCCUUGCCUUUGCUCUGAGAAGCUGCCAGUUCCUCCACCUGUGCUGUGGCUCUGGGUUCUUCUUGCUUCCUUGGGGACUGCCAGUUUUUAUCUCUAUGAUCGAUAAACAUGUACAGUGUCUCCUAUCUUUAACCCUGCCCCCACCCCCUGUCCAGUUGUUCUCUUUUUCUCUUAUAGCUGGCUUCUUUAGAAUGUUGAAUUCUCCUAACUCUCCCCGCCCAUUCACUGUUCAGCCCCUUAGGUUUCUGCUCCAACUCAUCUGAGCUCAUCACAUUUUCUGCUCCAUGACCUCGGCACACAUGCUCCUCAAGCGCGUCACCACGCUACCUGCCCGCUUCUCCUGGACAUCUGUGGCUCCUGGGGCUGGCCUCUCCAGGCCAUGACUGUCCUUGGCUGGUUCACUGCUCCGGCCAGCUUUGCCAGGGUUCCAUCCUUGGCCUCUCCUGCUGGGCUGUACUUGUCCUGAGCCAUGCAUCUAUCCUGGGGCUUCCCCGCCAUGUACAGUCAUAUGUUGCAGGGACAUUCUGAGAACAGAGAAAGGAUCUCUCUAUUCAUUGGGAAUCCUCUAGUUUGCGAGUCACAGCAAAUCUACCAAGUUAAACCAGCUCAGAGACAAGAGCCACGUCCAGGACUUAGAUCUCAGAAGACCGUAGGGAUCAAAUGAUGUCACACGGUUCCAUAGCUCAGCCCACAAAAAUUGCUUUCAGUGCGGUUCCUGCAACGUCUCCCAGCUUUCUGCUCAUGACUGCUCACUUUCACUUUCAUGUUCCAACUGGCAAUCCCAACAGAGGAGGGGACAGAAAGAGACUGGGGUCAGAUCCUGAGUAACAUGACUGAAGUUCACCCUGACUUGACUAGGCUGGGUCACCGUGGCCAAGUGCGUGUUAAUCAGGGCCAUUUCUGUUACCACACGGGUUUCCUAAAGGCAGGAGGGAGAAGGAACACUGGCAGUGACAGCAUGUGGAACCGUAAUACCUCUCUGUUUCACUCAUAUUUUUUCACAGCUGUGACCUGACCAGAACAAUUUUAGAGCAGGAAAAGUUUAUUUGGAGCUCAGGGUUUCAGAGGUCUCAAUCCACAGAAGUCUGGCUCCAUUUCUUGGGUGAGGCAGAACAUCAUGGCAGAAAAGAGUGGCAGAGGGAAGCAGCUCACAUGAUGAUCAGAAGGGGGAGAGAGAGAGAGAGAGAGAGAGAGAGAGAGAGAGACCACUCACCAAAUACAAAACGUAUACCCCAAAGUCAUGUCCCCAAUGACCCACCUCCUCCAGCCACACCCUACCUGCCUUCAGUCACCACUCAGUUAAUCCCAUCAGGGGAUUAAUUCACUGUUGGGGUUAAGGUUCUCAUAACCCAUUAUUUCUCCUCUGAAUCUUCUUGCAUUGUCUCACACAUGAGCUUUUGGGGGACACCUCAUAUCCAAACCGUAACACUCUCCCCAAAUAAGCACAAGCUGAGACCAGAAAUUCCCCUGUAAAGCUGUGUCUCUUCCUUCCCUCUGUCACCGACUUCUCAGAUACUCAUUCCUCCUUCCUCUGUUCCCCAAAUAUUUCGCUGUACCGUGUCCCUCAUGUAUUAUAGUUAUUUGUAAUAUAUCUGCCUUGGCCGCUAGACAGGGCACCUCAAAAGCAGAAGUAAACUGCUUUCAGUUUUCACCCGUAACACCCAAGUGAUUCCCUAAGCUUGGCACAUUGUGGGUGCUUGAUAAGUGUGGCCAGUGUCACAAAUGAAUAAACAGUAGUAUUGUCUAUAGAAACAUUUAACUGGGUUUUCUGGGUCAAGUGGCUGUGAUGUGGGAAUAGGGAAUGUAAUUGUGUCGUCUGUGCUGUGGCUUUGUCUGGUACCCUGCUGGACAGAGAGAAGACGUACAAUCUACCCUCAUGCAGGAUCUUCAUCUGUGGAUAUUCUGACUCAAUUUGAACCCACUCUUCCCUUUUUAGUUUCUUCAAGGACACAGAAUUCUCUGGCCAAGUGACUCGCUAGCCUGGCGGGAGCUUGGGGCAGGAUCCUGCCUAUUGCUGUUUGCUGGAAGGGAUGGGAUUCACGUGCCAGCCCAGAAUGGUGUCUCCAUGUUCACUCCCUUUGGUGAGUGUGGAGACAUGAAAUUAGCUGGUUUUUGGAAAACAAGCUCAAUGGCUACCUGGGCCAGGUAUGGAACUGGAUGAGAGGCGCGUGCUGGCAACUGUCAGUGUGGAGCCGUUGCAGGUGUGGUGGGGCUGCCGCAGCUGGAUUGCCAAGCCUGGUCACGGUGAGUGAGCAGCAGUCAUGACUCAGCAGCUGCUGACUGGAGGGGAUACAGACUCUGGGAUGCUAGGACUUGGAACAGUACUCCAGUUUCAGAAGGGACAGCACUAAGUCACUCUUUGAGAAAACAUGUCUCUGACCAGUGGGCCUGGCGUGGCUUGAGGAGUACCAGACUGUGCCUCUGAUCUCACCUGAAACUUUGCCAGUGGCAUGUCUCAAAGUGAGCUACAUUUUACAACUCAAGCAGGCUUAGUCUUGUUGGGAAAAGUAUAAACGGCAGCCGCACCCCAGAGAAAAACCCCAACAUGGCGCCUAAGGACCUCUUCUUCCUACCUUCCUCUUUUCUGCAGUGGCGCGAAAAGUUCCCGUCCGUGGGAACUCUCCCAUCAGCGCCGAUUUCAAAUCUCGAUGGCGGGGAACCUUAGCCCCAAUAAGAACUAAUUCCUGGGCUCCGGAGCUGAUAUCUGGAAGAACUUGCCAAUAAACGGGUGGCCUGCCAUUUAUCUAAGCCCUGCCAUCUCCCCCUUAGUUCUAUAUAAGCACACAGCCUUUUGCAAUAAAAUUGGAAUUCUCCCGGCGAAGUGUCUUUGCGUGGGGAAUUCUUUCAAGUCUCACUAUAUGGAAGAGUUUUUUUCUAAACACUUAGGAAAAUAAUUCGGACCACAUAGUUGUUUUCAACAACUAUGCCCCGAACUAUUCUUCCCAUGAAUGGUUUUAUAGUUUCUUCAAAGUCACCGUCAAGAUUUACCCUUUUCAUGUAGCUAUUCAUCUAUUUACUGCACCCUGGCUCUGA